UCGGUCAAGAUACUCGAGUACUCGCGAGUACUCGGAUGAAUCUUAAACGUCUAUUGAAAAAAUUAGAUUUAAGGUGGGAUGCAGUGUUUUUGUUAUUUCCUUUCAUAAACAUAAGUCAAACGUACUACAAACAUAGCUUGCUCCUCUGUUUUUUGUUUGUGUCAAUUUAACAAUGAAUUACCGACCGCCGUUUCUACAAAUA
RNAcentral lists this long non-coding RNA (202 nucleotides) under Mytilus galloprovincialis (Mediterranean mussel). The record is from RNAcentral. Lineage: Eukaryota; Metazoa; Mollusca; Bivalvia; Mytilida; Mytilidae.